Molecule: unclassified non-coding RNA, 968 nt
Filed under: Daphnia magna
Lineage: Eukaryota; Metazoa; Arthropoda; Branchiopoda; Diplostraca; Daphniidae
Description: putative nuclease HARBI1, transcript variant X5
Source: RNAcentral
GGCGCGUUUUGGCGUCUACCUGGUUGAGUUGAACUCAACCAUAAGGUUGACACCAAAAUGGAUUUUAGAUCAACUCGGUUGGUCGAAGUCGGACUAACCAAGUUUACAUUUCAGUUGACGCCAAAAUGAAAGUUGAGCCGAAGUCACGCCCACCACUUCAUUAUUCGGCGAAAACCACUAUUUUCAUAAAAUGUGGCAACGGUGUCCCCUUCUCUCUAUCUUAGGUUGUCUGCAAUGUGCUGUAAAUAUUUAUUAAUUUUAUAAUUUAUACGCUGUCGAUGCAGUGUGCCCAACUGAUUACUGCAUCAGUCUUUCUGCGAGGCGGUUGUGUGGUUUGUUUGAUUCCUGUGAGAAGUGGCUCUGUUGAAUUUGCUUGUAGCAUUUUUUUUCCAUUCUACGUGCCACUCAGCCUUCACUGUUUAGGUUUCAAACAUUUAUCCUCAGUGAAAUGGAUGCGAAUAAAUUGUUGGCAAUUGUUUGUGUGUCAGAAAUGUUGAUGGAAAGCAGUUCAUCAUCAGAAGAUUCUGAAGAAGACGACAAUAAAAAAAUAUUUGCUUUAGCAAGUGUUAUUCGAGAAACCCACCCUAGACAAACUGGAUACCUCAGUGUCAUUAUGGAAUAUUCUAAUAGCGAUUUUUGGAGACAUUUUAGGGCGCAAUUCGCUUGCUUGCUGACAAAUUUGACAGGACCGAAUCAUCCAUAUGGAACGCAAUAGAAUGGGUGUGUAAUUUCCUAUUCAAACAUCAAUCAUGUUUCAUUAAGUGGCCUGUUGAAACUGAAAUGCCAUACAUUGCUUCGAAGUUUAAGGAUAAAUGUGGUUUCCCAGGAGUUGUAGGUGCAAUUGACGGUUGCCAUAUUCCUUUUCAUCCUCUUUUUGCAGACCAGAAGUCAUAUAGAAACUACAAAAAAUUUCAUAGUUUUGUAAUCAUGGCCAUUGUCUUGUAUGACGGAACUUUUUCCUAUGUUUU